Molecule: unclassified non-coding RNA, 1289 nt
Filed under: Hevea brasiliensis (rubber tree)
Lineage: Eukaryota; Viridiplantae; Streptophyta; Magnoliopsida; Malpighiales; Euphorbiaceae
Source: RNAcentral
UGUUUCUUCACCAGUGUCUUCUGAGAUAGAACCCAUAAGCAACCCCCAUUCAGUAUUAAUCCCAACACUUGUUACCAACAUUGUGCCACAACCAUCUGCCACUUUGCAGCCAGACAAUAGAAAUGGUUCCCUCGAGUUCUUGUGAACAAUCUUGCUCUCUCCAGUCAUGCUUGAUUCAUCAAUUCCAAGAGAGUGACCAGAUAUCAAAAUUCCAUCAGCAGGUACCUGGUCACCAAUGUUGAGGGGCACAACAUCACCAACAACAACAUCAAAUAUUGAAACCUCAACUCUUCUACCACCCCUUAUAACCUGCAAAUGUAUGUUUCUCUUCUCUGCAAUUAUAUUUUGGAACCGAAGAGAUUGUCUGUAAUCACUUGUGGCUGUCACAACAAUGAUAAUAAUAACAGCAAAUGUAAUGCCAGCCCCAUCAUACCAUCCUCUCUUAAUACCCUCUUUACGUAUACCCAAAGCCAAAGAAAUCACUGCAGCCACCACCAAUAUAAUCAAAGUAUAAUCUUGACAAGCUUCCCAAAGGAACCUCCAAAAGCUUCUUCCUUUUGGCUGGGGAUAGGUGUUGGAUCCAAAUUCAUUCCUUCGUUUGAGUAAAUCAGCAUAAUCUCCAAGAAUCCCCUUUUCUACAUUUGUUUUUAAAAGAUCUGAAACCCCAUUUACCCCCCCAAUUUGCUCCAAAGUAUAGAAAUCGUGAUCCCUCAUCAUUGUACACAGUUCAUCUCGUCCAAUUCCAAAAUCACCACUAGGUUUUGGAUGGAAUGGAGCAUUUUCUGGUGCGCUAGCUUUGCUGAAAGAAUGUGCAGCCCUCCAGCGGCGCAGACGUUCUACAGAAGCGGUUUUUGUUCUAGGUAUAUGAAAAGGACUAUCCUCGUAGUCGUCCACCCAAUGGCCAGCCUCCACAUCAUUUCGCCGUCUGUACGGCGAGCCGCUGGACAAACUAGCCAUUAUUGUUCACUAGUCGACCAAAAAGAUUUCCCUGCUUCCGCACGUACGUAGAUCAAAUUCAUUAGACUUUUUUAAUGAGCGCGCUCUGCUUCUCUUUGUUUUUUGGUUUUGUUUUGCUUGUUUUACUACCCGACAAAAAUCACAGCAGCAGCAUAUGACUCCUCUCUUGAAUGAAGACCAAUGAGCAAAGAAGCACAAUGGUAGACACGGCAAAGGAUAACCACUCCAAACUAGCUCUCUGAAAAGUAAAGUGCAGUAAGGGGCGGACGAAUGGUGAGGAUUGAAGAGUAUAAAAUGACAAAAAAGUGCAAAUUCGUCCAUCUUGAUUUUCU